RNAcentral lists this ribosomal RNA (250 nucleotides) under uncultured prokaryote. Its description in RNAcentral is "partial 16S ribosomal RNA". It matches the Rfam family "Bacterial small subunit ribosomal RNA", at positions 524 to 774 of the family's 1533-position model. The record is from RNAcentral.
UACGAAGGGGGCUAGCGUUGCUCGGAGUCACUGGGCGUAAGGGCGCGUAGGCGGCUGAUUUAGUCGAGGGUGAAAGCCCGUGGCUCAACCACGGAAUGGCCUUCGAUACUGAUUGGCUUGAGACCGGAAGAGGACAGCGGAACUGCGAGUGUAGAGGUGAAAUUCGUAGAUAUUCGCAAGAACACCAGUGGCGAAGGCGGCUGUCUGGUCCGGUUCUGACGCUGAGGCGCGAAAGCGUGGGGAGCAAACA